This 272-nucleotide long non-coding RNA is filed under the name Lathyrus oleraceus (garden pea). Its description in RNAcentral is "Pisum sativum (pea) long non-coding RNA (PSAT_LNC041938)". Lineage: Eukaryota; Viridiplantae; Streptophyta; Magnoliopsida; Fabales; Fabaceae. The record is from RNAcentral.
GUCAAUAGACAAAAGAAGAAAAACAAUAAUAUACAAUUCAAACAUGCUUGGUUGUCUCAAACUAACUCACACAAGUUCCCAUCCUAGGGUUAAGGAGCCAAGAUGCUAUGAUCCUUGAGGCAAAUGCAAAUCCAAUGAUAUGAUGCCAUGAGGGAUCUUAGGGUCUUUAUUAGAGUCUUACAACAUGAUUUGUUAUGGUUGUGGUAAAAUGAUUGGUUGUGAUUAUGACCUUGAAAUCUUGGUGAUUGUGAGCUUGGAAUCCUUGAUUUAUA